Molecule: non-coding RNA, 130 nt
Filed under: Actinoplanes missouriensis
Lineage: Bacteria; Bacillati; Actinomycetota; Actinomycetes; Micromonosporales; Micromonosporaceae
Source: RNAcentral
ACUCCGUGCUGUCCGUGAGCUAGCGUUUUCAUCAGACCGCGUCUCAGCGAAGCCGGUGCGAAACCGGCGCUGUCCCGCAACUGUGAUGCCCGCGACGAGCCGGGCUAGCCAGGUCGCCUGGACGCCGGUC